GUUGGUGUUGAUUGCCAUGUGGGUCCACCUGUUCCCAUCCCGAACACAGAAGUUAAGCACAUGUGCGCCGACAAUACUUGGCGGGUGACUGCCCGGGAAGAUAGGUAACGCCAACA
RNAcentral lists this ribosomal RNA (116 nucleotides) under Oscillospiraceae bacterium. The record is from RNAcentral. Lineage: Bacteria; Bacillati; Bacillota; Clostridia; Eubacteriales; Oscillospiraceae.